RNAcentral lists this ribosomal RNA (322 nucleotides) under uncultured eukaryote. Its description in RNAcentral is "partial 18S ribosomal RNA". It matches the Rfam family "Eukaryotic small subunit ribosomal RNA", at positions 1470 to 1796 of the family's 1831-position model. The record is from RNAcentral.
CCCUUAGAUGUUCUGGGCCGCACGCGUGCUACACUGAGUAAUUCAAUGGGUAAGGGAACGCUAGAGCAUUACCUAAUCUUGAAAUUUGCUCGUGAUGGGGAUCGACGGUUGCAAUUUUCCGUCGUGAACGAGGAAUACCUUGUAAGCGCGGGUCAUCAUCCCGCGCUGAAUACGUCCCUGCCCUUUGUACACACCGCCCGUCGCUCCUACCGAUUGAGUGGUCCGGUGAGGCUUUGGGAUCUGAGCGGAAAGAGCGUUUCGCUGUUUCUGCUCGGAAAACUCAGUCGAACCUUAUCAUUUAGAGGAAGGAGAAGUCGUAACA